This 96-nucleotide signal recognition particle RNA is filed under the name Deltaproteobacteria bacterium. RNAcentral describes it as "signal recognition particle sRNA small type". It matches the Rfam family "Bacterial small signal recognition particle RNA". Rfam says of the family: The signal recognition particle (SRP) is a universally conserved ribonucleoprotein involved in the co-translational targeting of proteins to membranes. The record is from RNAcentral. Lineage: Bacteria; Pseudomonadati; Myxococcota; Myxococcia.
GGCCGGGCGACCGCGCAAUUUUGGGCAUCCCAUCGUGUCAGGUCCGAAAGGAAGCAGCACAGCGAUACCCAUAUGUGCCGCGGGGACCCGGCUCUU